GACGAACGCUGGCGGCGUGCUUAACACAUGCAAGUCGAACGGAAAGGCCCUGCUUUUGUGGGGUGCUCGAGUGGCGAACGGGUGAGUAACACGUGAGUAACCUGCCCUUGACUUUGGGAUAACUUCAGGAAACUGGGGCUAAUACCGGAUAGGAGCUCCUGCUGCAUGGUGGGGGUUGGAAAGAUUCGGCGGUUGGGGAUGGACUCGCGGCUUAUCAGCUUGUUGGUGGGGUAGUGGAUUACCAAGGCUUUGACGGGUAGCCGGCCUGAGAGGGUGACCGGCCACCUGGGGACUGCGAGACGGCCCAGACUCCUACGGGACGCAGCAGUGGGGAAUAUUGCACAAUGGGCGGAAGCCUGAUGCGGCAACGCCGCGUGCGGGAUGACGGCUUUCGGGUUGUAAACCGCUUUCGCCUGUGACGAAGCGUUAGUGACGGUAAUGGGUAAAGAAGCACCGGCUAACUACGUG
This 468-nucleotide ribosomal RNA is filed under the name uncultured bacterium. RNAcentral's name for it is "partial 16S ribosomal RNA". It matches the Rfam family "Bacterial small subunit ribosomal RNA", at positions 28 to 507 of the family's 1533-position model. The record is from RNAcentral.